RNAcentral lists this ribosomal RNA (482 nucleotides) under uncultured bacterium. RNAcentral's name for it is "partial 16S ribosomal RNA". It matches the Rfam family "Bacterial small subunit ribosomal RNA", at positions 30 to 507 of the family's 1533-position model. The record is from RNAcentral.
AUUGAACGCUGGCGGCAUGCCUUACACAUGCAAAUCGAACGGUAACGGGCCUUCGGGUGCCGACGAGUGGCGAACGGGUGAGUAAUACAUCGGAACGUGCCCGAUCGUGGGGGAUAACGAGGCGAAAGCUUUGCUAAUACCGCAUACGAUCUACGGAUGAAAGCAGGGGACCGCAAGGCCUUGCGCGGGCGGAGCGGCCGAUGGCAGAUUAGGUAGGUGGUGGGAUAAAAGCUUACCAAGCCGACGAUCUGUAGCGGGUCUGAGAGGAUGAUCAGCCACACUGGGACUGAGACACGGCCCAGACUCCUACGGGAGGCAGCAGUGGGGAAUUUUGGACAAUGGGCGCAAGCCUGAUCCAGCCAUGCCGCGUGCAGGAUGAAGGCCUUCGGGUUGUAAACUGAUUUUGUACGGAACGAAAAGCCUUCUUUUAAUACAGGAGGGUCAUGACGGUACCGUAAGAAUAAGCACCGGCUAACUACGUG